GUAUUCCUAAAUAAAAAAUGAAAACCAACAAUUUAAUAAUAAAUAGGAGUCUUAUACUAUUGACUCGAUUACACCAUCAAAUAAAAUAAAUAUGAUAAUAUUUGACACACACUUAUAAGAAAAUAUUAAUAUGUAAAGCAUGAGAAGAUUACCAAUUUUGGUAUAGGUAGAGGAGAGCCUUGCUUUGAACUUAGAAUGAAGAUAGCAAGCAAUCUGCAUAGAAAAAAUUUACAAAAGUUGUCAAAACACUUGACUUGACUAGACAAAGCAUAAUUCAAUAAUCAUGAGAACAGAGAACACUCACAGAAAAAAUGCAUCUUGAAGAUGGGACCCAAAGAUUUGAGCUUCCAGUAUCAAACACAACAGUCAAAGGUUGUGGAGCUUUCAAUCUUUUAAGGCUUAAAGGCCACUUCUUGAGACUUAUUCUCAGAAACCCAUUAUCCGAAUCGGCGAAAACCAAGGAGGAGGAUAACAUAGAGAGUGCAAGAAGAAAACUUUUGAUCCUCAUGGUCACAGUCAUACAGUUAAUCUAUCUGGGAUGAAGUCAAAAACCUUGCUUUUGAAACAUAACAUUCAUAUAAUCAUACAUAAGUAUGAAGAUAAUUUUGCCUUUAAAACUAGAAAGAAUGAAGAGUUCUUUGUUGGUUAAACUUUAAACGUUAUAUGGAUUAGACAUAUAAGGAAAGAAGCAGGUAACUUCGUGGAGAAUGAAUACAAUAGUACUCUACUAAAACAAGUAUGUAACUAAACAAAAGUACUAUGAUUAACGUUUCUCGUUCUGAUUUCUAACACUAACAAGGUCAGCUCAAUCUUUAUCCCAUUCUUUCUUUCAUUCUUUGUGGCCUUAUUUUAACAAUUCAUGGUGAUAUUAUAGAUACAACUUUGUAUUUUGUACAAUUUUCUUUGCGUGUGGGAACUGAAUAAUUGUUAUGCAGUUAAAACUGUUUGAUUUGGAUUUUUCCUAUGGCAGAAAAAGGCCUGCGUUAAUUAUCUGGUGUCACUGUUGAAGACUGCAAUAGUAGUGAUCAAGUUGCAUAGAUAACAAAUACAGUUAUCCAUUAAUGUAUAUACAUACACAUAUAGUGAUUAAAUGGUAAUUAGAACUUUGUAUUUUAGCAGUCCAUUUCAACAAACAACAUUCUGUACAUGAGCAUGGAUUUUUUUUCCAGAUA
Long non-coding RNA from Cannabis sativa, 1172 nucleotides. RefSeq lists it as uncharacterized. The transcript is spliced from 2 exons. The record is from RefSeq and is a predicted model, not a curated record. Lineage: Eukaryota; Viridiplantae; Streptophyta; Magnoliopsida; Rosales; Cannabaceae.